CUAAGGGCACAUGGCGGAUGUCUUGGCGUCGAGAGGCGAUGAAGGACGUGGUAACCUGCGAUAAGCCCGAAGGAGCCGGUAACAGGCUUUGAUCUUGGGAUUUCCGAAUGGGGCAACCCACCCUGCGGGGUACUCAAUACUGAAUGUAUAGGUAUUGAGAGCGAACCUGGUGAACUGAAACAUCUAAGUAGCCAGAGGAAAAGAAAGCAAACGCGAUUCCCUUAGUAGCGGCGAGCGAACAGGGACCAACCGACAGACUCACGAACCACCUGGAAAGGUGGACCAAAGAAGGUGACAGUCCUGUAAUGAUGAGUCGGCCAGCCCACGAGUAGUACGGAGCCCGUGAAACUCCGUGCGAACAUGGGGGGUCCACCCCCUAAGGCUAAAUACUCCUCGACGACCGAUAGUGAACCAGUAAGGUGACUGAACGAUGAAAAGCACCCCGACAAGGGGAGUGAAAAGUACCUGAAACCAUGUGCCUACAAGCGGUGGGAGCCUUCGGGUGACCGCGUGCCUUUUGCAUAAUGAUCCUGCGAGUUGGUCUUCAUAGCUAGGUUAAGCAGUAACGCUGCGGAGCCGUAGGGAAACCGAGCCUGAAAGGGCGUUGAGUUGUGGGGACCAGACGCGAAACCUUAGUGAUCUACCCAUGGGCAGGUUGAAGGCCGGGUAACACCGGCUGGAGGACCGAACUCACUAACGUUGAAAAGUUAGGGGAUGACCUGUGGGGUGGACUAAAAGUGUAAUCAAACUGGGAGAUAGCUCGUUCUCCGCGAAAUGCCUUUAGGGGCAGCCUCGUGUUACAUCCAGCAGGGGUAGAGCACUGACUCGGGCUGGGGGGUAUUGCACCUACCCACCUGAAUCAAACUCCGAAUACUGUUGGACUCUGUCACGGGAGUGAGCCCAUGGGAGAUAAUUUCCAUGGACGAAAGGGAAACAACCCUCACCACCGGCUAAGGUCCCCAAACGGGACUCAGUUCUUAAGGUAGUCAAGAUGCAGUGACAGCCAGGAUGUUGGCUUAGAAGCAGCCACCAUUUAAAGAGUGCGUAACAGCUCACUGGUCGAGGAUUUUGGCGCCGAUAAUGAUCGGGAAUCAAGUUUCGUACCGAAGCCGUGGACGAAAGUGGUAGCGGAGCGUUGCUGUCAGCGCUGAAGGCGUCUCGUGAGGGACGUUGGAGCGGCAGCAAGUGAAUAUGCAGGAUUGAGUAACGAUAAACGGAGUGAGAAUCUCCGUCGCCGAAAGCCUAAGGGUUCCUGGGGAAGGGAAAUCCGCCCAGGGUAAGGCGGGACCUAAGACGAGCCCGACAGGGGUAGUCGAUGGACAGCCGGUUAAUAUUCCGGCCCUCACGGUGAGAUCAAAGCGAAGUGCGGAUUCGAAAGCUACACGGGACAGUGAAGCGUCCGGCAGUGGGUGGAAGAGUUCCAAGAAAAGCUUCGUGGGCAAUCCGUGACCCGUACUAAAACUGACACAGGUAGGCGUGGUGAAUAACCUCAGGCGCUCGAGAGAAUGGUUGUGAAGGAACUAGGCAAAUUGACCCCGUACGUUCGCAAUAAGGGGGCCCUACCGGAAACGGAGGGCGCAGAGAAAAGGCGCUGACGACUGUUUAUCAAAAACACAGCACUGUGCAAACUCGAAAGAGGACGUAUACAGUGUGACGCCUGCUCGGUGCCAGAAUGUCAAGGAAGUAGGUUAGCUCCGGCGAAGCUUACAACCGAAGCACUGGUAAACAGCGGCCGUAACUAUGACGGUCCUAAGGUAGCGAAAUUCCUUGUCGGGUAAGUUCCGACGCGCAUGAAUGGCGUAACGAUUGGCGCACUGUCUCCACAACCAACUCGGUGAAAUAGUAGUGGCGGUGAAGAUGCCGCCUUACCGUGGCAAGACGGAAAGACCCCGUGGACCUUUACUGUAGGCUUGUAUUGAUCACGAUUCUGUGAUGCGUAGGAUAGGUGGGAGGCUUUGAAGUCAGGAUUUCGGUCCUGGUGGAGCCGUUGGUGAAAUACCACUCUUUGCAUUGUUGUGAUCUAACCCUGACUCCCAUGAAGCUGGGCAGGGAACCGUGCAUGCCGGGCAGUUUGACUGGGGCGGUCUCCUCCUAAAGUGUAACGGAGGAGCACAAAGGUCGGCUCAACGCGGUUGGAAACCGUGUUUCGAGUGUAAGAGCACAAGCCGGCUUUACUGCGAGACAAACAGGUCGAGCAGUUACGAAAGUAGGUUCUAGUGAUCCUGCGAUCCCGUGUGGAAGGGUCGUAGCUCAUCGGAUAAAAGGUACCCCGGGGAUAACAGGCUUAUCGCUCCCGAGCGUCCAUAGCGGCGGAGCGGUUUGGCACCUCGAUGUCGGCUCAUCGCAUCCUGGGGCUGUAGGUGGUCCCAAGGGUUGGGCUGUUCGCCCAUUAAAGCGGUACGCGAGCUGGGUUCAGACCGGCGUGAGCCAGGUCGGUCCCUAUCUGCCAUGGUCGUAGCAACGUUGAUAGGAUCUUUCCUUAGUACGAGAGGAUUGGGAAGGACCAACCCCUGGUGCGCCAGUUGGCCCGCUCGGGCCACAGCUGGGUAGCUAAGUUGGGCAGGGAUAACCGCUGAAAGCAUCUAAGCGGGAAGCCCCCCUAGAGAUGAGCGUUGCAUUGAGACCCCCGGAAGACUACCGGGUUGAUAGGCCGCACGUGCAAGGGCAGAGAUGUCCUCAGCGAAGCGGUACUAAUGGUCAAGUCCCGUGAUC
Molecule: ribosomal RNA, 2712 nt
Filed under: Phycisphaerae bacterium
Lineage: Bacteria; Pseudomonadati; Planctomycetota; Phycisphaerae
Description: bacterial LSU rRNA
Rfam family: Bacterial large subunit ribosomal RNA
Source: RNAcentral